GUGGGGAAUCUUGCACAAUGGGGGAAACCCUGAUGCAGCGACGCCGCGUGAGCGAUGAAGCCCUUCGGGGUGUAAAGCUCUUUCGACAGGGACGAUUAUGACGGUACCUGGAGAAGAAGCUGCGGCUAACUACGUGCCAGCAGCCGCGGUAAUACGUAGGCAGCAAACGUUGUUCGGAGUUACUGGGCGUAAAGAGUGCGUAGGCGGUUCGCCAAGUUCGGUGUGAAAUCUCCCGGCUUAACUGGGAGGGUGCGCCGAAAACUGGCGGGCUUGAGUGUGGGAGAGGGAAGCGGAAUUCCUGGUGUAGCGGUGAAAUGCGUAGAUAUCAGGAGGAACACCGGUGGUGUAGACGGCUUCCUGGACCACAACUGACGCUGAGGCACGAAAGCGUGGGUAGCAAACAGGAUUAGAUACCCGAGUAGUCC
RNAcentral lists this ribosomal RNA (425 nucleotides) under uncultured Acidobacteriota bacterium. RNAcentral's name for it is "bacterial SSU rRNA". It matches the Rfam family "Bacterial small subunit ribosomal RNA", at positions 354 to 796 of the family's 1533-position model. The record is from RNAcentral. Lineage: Bacteria; Pseudomonadati; Acidobacteriota.